UACGUAGGGUGCGAGCGUUGUCCGGAAUUAUUGGGCGUAAAGGGCUCGUAGGCGGUUUGUCGCGUCGGGAGUGAAAACCAGGUGCUUAACACCUGGCUUGCUUUCGAUACGGGCAGACUAGAGGUAUUCAGGGGAGAACGGAAUUCCUGGUGUAGCGGUGAAAUGCGUAGAGAUCCGGAGGAACACCAAAGGCGAAGGCAGUGUCCUGGGGGAGUACCUGACGCUCAGGUGCGAAAGCCAGGGGGAGCGAACGGG
Molecule: ribosomal RNA, 255 nt
Filed under: uncultured bacterium
Lineage: Bacteria
Description: partial 16S ribosomal RNA
Rfam family: Bacterial small subunit ribosomal RNA
Source: RNAcentral